RNAcentral lists this long non-coding RNA (740 nucleotides) under Homo sapiens (human). RNAcentral's name for it is "non-protein coding lnc-NR1I2-1:8". The record is from RNAcentral. Lineage: Eukaryota; Metazoa; Chordata; Mammalia; Primates; Hominidae.
CUCAUGCUGGAUGCGCGCGCUCCUUGGGCGCAACUGCCCAGCGCAAAACGGGCCCCGAAAGCAGGUGAGUGGAGGACACUUCAAUCUAAAGUGAUCUUAAAGGAGGAGUAGUAGGAUUUGAAGAUGAAGAAAGAAGAGGGGAGGUAAAUUACUUUCCAUCACUUCAAUUUCAACCCAUCAGAUAAAACCUCUCUUUAGUAAACCUGCAUGUGGGUGGAGCUGUAACAGCAAUUAAGGACAGUGUGACUCUGUUCUUCUGACUUUGGGAAAACCAGUUUGGCUGGAACAAAAAGCUGAUAGAGAAGACUAAUGGAAGAUAAGGUUGAAAAGGUUAAAAAAUGGAGGCAACAGCUGGGUACAGUGGCUCACUCCUGUAAUUCCAGCACUUUAGGAGGCCAAGGUAGGCAGAUCACUUGAGAAAAAGAGUUCGAGACCAGCCUGGGCAACAUAGUGAGACCCUCUCUCUCAAAAAAAAUAGCCAAGUGUGAUGAUGGACACCUGUAACCCCAACUACUUCAGAGACUGAGGCAGGAGGAUCACUUGAGCCUAGGAGGUCAAGGCUGCAGUGAGCUGUGAUUGGGCCACUGCACUCCAGCCUGGGUGACACAGAGAGACCUCUCUAAAAAAUAAAAAAAUAAAAAAAAUGGAAGCACAGAAAACUAUACCUUUUCUAGCUCAACUUUACCACAUUGAUGAAAAAGUAUUGAGCAGCCACAGGUACAUGACAUUCCACUAUGUUC